Nylanderia fulva is the source of this 1591-nucleotide non-coding RNA. NCBI's taxonomy places the organism in Eukaryota, Metazoa, Arthropoda, Insecta, Hymenoptera, Formicidae. The record is from RefSeq and is a predicted model, not a curated record.
UUCAUAUAUAUUUAAAUAUUUAAUAUUUUCUAGAUGGAGCCAUAUAACUUUUAGGUUGGGUUCACUUCGUGGAUUAUCCGGACGUGUACACAAAAUUCAUAACAAGGAUGCAAUCCGACGAUGAGCUGGGCGAGGAUGAGGAAGAAAUGCUCGUUUACGUAGAGUUUGAGGGACUUGUCGGCAGUAAUGUAUUUAAUAAUGAAGAACUUCAAUUAGAUAUGAUUGGAAUAGAUACAGAGCAUCCUAUAAUGCAAAUUAAUGGACGGUUUUAUGAGGGCACUUAUGAAGACACUACAGGUACCCACAUGUUCUUUGAAAAAGAUGAUGAUCCACAAGUGGAUGAUGUUGUAUUCGAUAAAGUGCCGACUCUAAAAUAUUUUGCUAAAACAAGAAAGGUACUUAAGAUGCAGAGAAUCUUUACGAAACCGAGAGUCGAGGUUCUGGGUGACUCUGAACAUGAUAGUUGUAUUCCGAAUAUUGAUAGUUUAUCACAGGCUGGAGUACCUCUAAAAUAUCAAGAGGAAGCCCUUCAGUAUUGGAAUAAGACACAUGAUGAUAGACUAGAAGAAUUAAGCACAUAUUUGGAAAAACAAAAAAUUAGAGAAGAAAAGAAAUCCAAAGACUCAAAAUCAUGACAUCUUUACCAAUCAAGGUCACUAGGAAGUUCAUCUGGAUACUCCCCUGUUAGACAAGCAGUACAGUGUCCAAUAUAAUUACUUUCACGAUUGUCCAUGCGAUAUCUAACUGCUUCAACAAGUCCCUCAACCGACAGUUUGGCCCGCAUCCGUUGUAAUAAUUAUUUCACAAAAGCACACGAGACACAAAACGGAAUUGAAAAUCGAGAAGAAGAGGAUGACGAUGAGAAGGUCGAAGAUGAGUUGGAGCAGAAGAUUCGAUAGCAAGAAGAAGAAGAAGAAGUUAUAUAAAUACGUAAAUUACCUCGUGUAUGUUUUUUCCUUUCUCUUCUUAUUUAUGAGAUUUUCAUCCGCUCAUCGAACGUGGUAUAUCACACUAUUCUUCUAAGAAACGUCUCUCCUCUCGUCGCAGGACGAAUAAAUGCUCCGAAAUAAUGCUGCAGACCAGUGGGACGCUGCGUCGUCGUUUGAAGAGGAGAUUCGAAUACACAGAUGAGCCGGCUUGGCUAUUAUCUCCUCCGCUUUCGUUUUUGAAAAGGAAAAGAGGGACUGCGGAAGGUGAAGAAUAUAUAUCACGUGUGCUAUCUCGAGCCCCCUAGAAGAACGUGCGCGUAUUCAUCUUGAAAAAAAGCGCUCUCUCUCUUCUCACAAUCAUCAACGGGAAUUGUGAUGCGGCCGCUACACAAACACACGAUUAUAUACCAUAGAAAGAAACUGGAAUAGAGAUCAGUGGAACUACUUGAUGUAUUUCGUCACCGCACACGUCGAAAUUUAGAAUCUUCCGAUCGAUAACGCGACUUAUUAUUGGAACGAGAAUAUAGUUAUCUAAGUUCCAUAAACUUUAGAAAGUUGCUUUCAUGAUUUUUCUUUCUCGCUUGCUUUUAUUUAAUGUUCACAUGAUUUCGAUAUAAUUUAUUUAACUUUUUUAUAUAUUACAAUGUUUUUUUUCUGCUAAU